Molecule: long non-coding RNA, 1349 nt
Organism: Alligator mississippiensis (American alligator)
Lineage: Eukaryota; Metazoa; Chordata; Crocodylia; Alligatoridae
Exons: 3
Source: RefSeq, a predicted model, not a curated record
GGGGGUGAAGAGGGAGGCAGGCUGUGCACACGUGGCCAUGUGUGAAGACCAGGCUCCUCAUCCCUGAUGGAGCUGGGCAGUGUCCUGAGGCGUAGCUUCUCCUCCUCUUCCUCCUCCUCACUGCUGCUGCUGGAGGCCAACAGCCGGCUGCUCCUCCAUGGCUUCCUCUACCUGGUGCUGUACCCUGCUUUAUGCUUCUUUCAUUCACUGAGAACUUCAGUACUCAUGCCACAGGAAUGGGAAAAACUAGUGCCUAGUUUUCCAGGCAGCAGAAGUCCUUUAAUGACAGCAGGUGGUACCGGAUGUGCAGCUCACCUGACGUGGUCAACACUGCAAGCAGAUUAUGGCGCUCAAACAAAGUACUUAGAGUACACAGCCUGAGGGAGCAAGAGAAUGUGCACAGGAACAGCAUCCGCAACCCAGUCUGAAUUAGCUGGCACCCAGCUGCUGCAUUACCAGUGAACUCAGCCUGCUUCUUCCCAUCAGAGAACAGCCUGCAGUAUAUAUGGAGACCCUCUGAUCCCUGGUCUAACUCCAGAGCAGAAAUGCAAUACAGCUACGCUGUCUGAUACUUUGGUGCAUGCAGAGGAACCCCAAGAAUCUCACCCUUAGUUAUUCAUAGAUAUAUUCAUAGAUAUUAGGUUUGGAAGGGACCUCAGUAGGUCAUGGAGUCUGAUCCCCUACCCUGGGCAGGAAAGAGAGCUGGGGUCAGACAACUCCAGCUAGGUGCUUGUCCAGUCUCCUCUUGAAGACCCCCAAGGUAGGGGAGAGCACCACCUCCCUGGGAAGUCCAUAAUAUAUAUACAGUUUUAUUAAGUUUUAUUAAUUAAUACUCAAUUAAGCUUUGAGUAUUAAGGAUUAUGCCAUUAACUCUACUGAAGUUAAAGAUAUUAUCCCACUGUAAAAUAAGCCACAGAAAACAUAUUGAGGGUUAUUCUAAUCCAAAUUAUAUCACCCUAACCUUAACAAGAUUUAAUAUUUAUCCUGGGGUAACUCUUAAAGGACAACCAGAUCUGGGCUUCAUUGGGAUGAUACAAAAAAACAGAAGGGCAGCAGCACCCCUCUGCAGGCUGCACAGGCACCGCCCAGCUGGCCAACAUGGGGGAGAAGCUUGCACACAGUGGCUGCUGCCACUGCUACCCACCACCCUGCACUGCUGCUGCUCUGCAUCCGGCCAUGCACCACCUCCCCACCCCGCCCAGCUGCUGGGGGUAUACUUAUUAAAAAAGGUUGAAAACCCCUGCAGUAGUGUUUCCAGAUGAGAUCAGAACCAGCUCAAGAGUCCUUUGAAAUGAGCAUUUGGAAGUCUUUGUUCAAGGCAGUCAUUGAGCUGUAAUAGGAGAAAUACC